CCUACGGGGGGCAGCAGUCGAGAAUCAUUCACAAUGGGGGAAACCCUGGUGGUGCGACGCCGCGUGGGGGAAUGAAGGUCUUCGGAUUGUAAACCCCUGUCAUGUGGGAGCAAAUUAAAAAGAUAGUACCACAAGAGGAAGAGACGGCUAACUCUGUGCCAGCAGCCGCGGUAAUACAGAGGUCUCAAGCGUUGUUCGGAAUCACUGGGCGUAAAGCGUGCGUAGGCUGUUUCGUAAGUCGUGUGUGAAAGGCGCGGGCUCAACCCGCGGACGGCACAUGAUACUGCGAGACUAGAGUAAUGGAGGGGGAACCGGAAUUCUCGGUUUAGCAGUGAAAUGCGUAGAUAUCGAGAGGAACACUCGUGGCGAAGGCGGGUUCCUGGACAUUAACUGACGCUGAGGCACGAAGGCCAGGGGAGCGAAAGGGAUUAGAUACCCGUGUAGUC
RNAcentral lists this ribosomal RNA (446 nucleotides) under uncultured bacterium. RNAcentral's name for it is "partial 16S ribosomal RNA". It matches the Rfam family "Bacterial small subunit ribosomal RNA", at positions 338 to 795 of the family's 1533-position model. The record is from RNAcentral.